CAGGGGAUAACAUUUGGAAACAAGUGCUAAUACCGUAUAAUACCAACAACCGCAUGGUUGUUGAUUCCAAGAUGGUUCUGCUAUCACUAAGAGAUGGACCCGCGGUGCAUUAGCUAGUUGGUAAGGUAACGGCUUACCAAGGCGAUGAUGCAUAGCCGAGUUGAGAGACUGAUCGGCCACAAUGGGACUGAGACACGGCCCAUACUCCUACGGGAGGCAGCAGUAGGGAAUCUUCCACAAUGGGCGCAAGCCUGAUGGAGCAACGCCGCGUGUGUGAUGAAGGGUUUCGGCUCGUAAAACACUGUUAUAAGAGAAGAACGGCACUGAGAGUAACUGUUCAGUGUGUGACGGUAUCUUACCAGAAAGGAACGGCUAAAUACGUGCCAGCAGCCGCGGUAAUACGUAUGUUCCAAGCGUUAUCCGGAUUUAUUGGGCGUAAAGCGAGCGCAGACGGUUAUUUAAGUCUGAAGUGAAAGCCCUCAGCUCAACUGAGGAAUGGCUUUGGAAACUGGAUGACUUGAGUGCAGUAGAGGAAAGUGGAACUCCAUGUGUAGCGGUGAAAUGCGUAGAUAUAUGGAAGAACACCAGUGGCGAAGGCGGCUUUCUGGACUGUAACUGACGUUGAUGCUCGAAAGUGUGGGUAGCAAACAGGAUUAGAUACCCUGGUAGUCCACACCGUAUACGAUGAGUGCUAGAUGUUCGGAGGUUUCCGCCCUUGAGUGUCGCAGCUAACGCAUUAAGCACUCCGCCUGGGGAGUACGACCGCAAGGUUGAAACUCAA
RNAcentral lists this ribosomal RNA (781 nucleotides) under uncultured bacterium. RNAcentral describes it as "bacterial SSU rRNA". It matches the Rfam family "Bacterial small subunit ribosomal RNA", at positions 137 to 904 of the family's 1533-position model. The record is from RNAcentral.